AAAUAUAGGAGGACACACAUGACAAAGUUAAAGUUUCAAUGCAAAGAGAGAAAAUACAACGUGCAAAAUCUAGAAGUACUCCUUUUAUUUUUGUGUCCAGUUGCCCAAGGUAGCCCUGGUUAAUAUGGCAAACGAUGGGAGAGUCAUGUAGUUAUCGAUAACCUUACUUUUACUAUCUGAUGAAAAUGACAUUUCCUUUAUUUUC
RNAcentral lists this long non-coding RNA (205 nucleotides) under Trifolium pratense (red clover). RNAcentral's name for it is "long non-coding RNA (TPRA_LNC008297)". Lineage: Eukaryota; Viridiplantae; Streptophyta; Magnoliopsida; Fabales; Fabaceae. The record is from RNAcentral.